This 550-nucleotide ribosomal RNA is filed under the name uncultured bacterium. RNAcentral's name for it is "bacterial SSU rRNA". It matches the Rfam family "Bacterial small subunit ribosomal RNA", at positions 355 to 896 of the family's 1533-position model. The record is from RNAcentral.
UAGGGAAUCUUCGGCAAUGGGGGCAACCCUGACCGAGCAACGCCGCGUGAGUGAAGAAGGUUUUCGGAUCGUAAAGCUCUGUUGUAAGUCAAGAACGAGUGUGAGAGUGGAAAGUUCACACUGUGACGGUAGCUUACCAGAAAGGGACGGCUAACUACGUGCCAGCAGCCGCGGUAAUACGUAGGUCCCGAGCGUUGUCCGGAUUUAUUGGGCGUAAAGCGAGCGCAGGCGGUUAGAUAAGUCUGAAGUUAAAGGCUGUGGCUUAACCAUAGUACGCUUUGGAAACUGUUUAACUUGAGUGCAGAAGGGGAGAGUGGAAUUCCAUGUGUAGCGGUGAAAUGCGUAGAUAUAUGGAGGAACACCGGUGGCGAAAGCGGCUCUCUGGUCUGUAACUGACGCUGAGGCUCGAAAGCGUGGGGAGCAAACAGGAUUAGAUACCCUGGUAGUCCACGCCGUAAACGAUGAGUGCUAGGUGUUGGAUCCUUUCCGGGAUUCAGUGCCGCAGCUAACGCAUUAAGCACUCCGCCUGGGGAGUACGACCGCAAGGUUG